Raphanus sativus (radish) is the source of this 659-nucleotide long non-coding RNA. RefSeq lists it as uncharacterized. The record is from RefSeq and is a predicted model, not a curated record. Lineage: Eukaryota; Viridiplantae; Streptophyta; Magnoliopsida; Brassicales; Brassicaceae. The transcript has 2 exons.
ACUACUGUAUUAAAUAAAAAAAAGUUUUGACCAUUGAUUAUAUUUUAAUCGAAAGGCUAUAAAUCAUUCUUUUGUGAAUCCUCCACUUUCUUUCUGAUUGGUCAAUCUAUCAAAACUAAGAUUGUCAUUUCUGGCCAUUGAUAUAUUUAAUCCUAUGGUCUAGAAUCAAUUUGUUCUAUUAUGUUUCUUAAUUCAACUCUCUCUCUCUCUCGCUAAGUUAGAAGAAACACAAAAGUAAAUUGUAUUAGAUUCAACCCUCACUCUCUCUCGACCAUGAUUAAAGCCUCAUCAACGAAACUUGACGCGAGUCAGAAGGAAGAAGACCUGCGGCGGAUAUGGUGAAGAGAACACACGGCGGAGACGGCGAAGCGCAUGAGCUGCGGCGGGGAAGGUUCGACAGACUCGCCUUUGGUCAAGCUCUGCGUUGGCUUCACCUCCCCACUACCACAGAUCUGAGAAUAUAAUGAUGAAAUGGGAAGGAGAAGUGGGGCGUGGUAGUGGAAUGGUGGUGCGGCGGUGCCAGCGACUGUAGGGGCAGUGCAAGCUAGGUUUAGAUUUUGAGGGUCUUUUUGGUUUAGUUUGAUUGAUUGGUUUAAAUUUUGUAAACCAGUUCAAAUUUGUAAACUAAUUACGAUAUAUAAAAGUGUAUUAGUUUCUAA